This 1369-nucleotide ribosomal RNA is filed under the name uncultured bacterium. RNAcentral describes it as "bacterial SSU rRNA". It matches the Rfam family "Bacterial small subunit ribosomal RNA", at positions 28 to 1381 of the family's 1533-position model. The record is from RNAcentral.
GACGAACGCUGGCGGCGUGCCUAAUACAUGCAAGUAGAACGCUGAAGAGAGGAGCUUGCUCUUCUUGGAUGAGUUGCGAACGGGUGAGUAACGCGUAGGUAACCUGCCUUGUAGCGGGGGAUAACUAUUGGAAACGAUAGCUAAUACCGCAUAACAAUGGAUGACACAUGUCAUUUAUUUGAAAGGGGCAAUUGCUCCACUACAAGAUGGACCUGCGUUGUAUUAGCUAGUAGGUGAGGUAAUGGCUCACCUAGGCGACGAUACAUAGCCGACCUGAGAGGGUGAUCGGCCACACUGGGACUGAGACACGGCCCAGACUCCUACGGGAGGCAGCAGUAGGGAAUCUUCGGCAAUGGGGGCAACCCUGACCGAGCAACGCCGCGUGAGUGAAGAAGGUUUUCGGAUCGUAAAGCUCUGUUGUAAGUCAAGAACGGGUGUGAGAGUGGAAAGUUCACACUGUGACGGUAGCUUACCAGAAAGGGACGGCUAACUACGUGCCAGCAGCCGCGGUAAUACGUAGGUCCCGAGCGUUGUCCGGAUUUAUUGGGCGUAAAGCGAGCGCAGGCGGCUUGAUAAGUCUGAAGUUAAAGGCUGUGGCUCAACCAUAGUUCGCUUUGGAAACUGUCAAACUUGAGUGCAGAAGGGGAGAGUGGAAUUCCAUGUGUAGCGGUGAAAUGCGUAGAUAUAUGGAGGAACACCGGUGGCGAAAGCGGCUCUCUGGUCUGUAACUGACGCUGAGGCUCGAAAGCGUGGGGAGCGAACAGGAUUAGAUACCCUGGUAGUCCGCGCCGUAAACGAUGAGUGCUAGGUGUUGGAUCCUUUCCGGGAUUCAGUGCCGCAGCUAACGCAUUAAGCACUCCGCCUGGGGAGUACGACCGCAAGGUUGAAACUCAAAGGAAUUGACGGGGGCCCGCACAAGCGGUGGAGCAUGUGGUUUAAUUCGAAGCAACGCGAAGAACCUUACCAGGUCUUGACAUCCCGAUGCUAUUUCUAGAGAUAGAAAGUUACUUCGGUACAUCGGUGACAGGUGGUGCAUGGUUGUCGUCAGCUCGUGUCGUGAGAUGUUGGGUUAAGUCCCGCAACGAGCGCAACCCCUAUUGUUAGUUGCCAUCAUUCAGUUGGGCACUCUAGCGAGACUGCCGGUAAUAAACCGGAGGAAGGUGGGGAUGACGUCAAAUCAUCAUGCCCCUUAUGACCUGGGCUACACACGUGCUACAAUGGUUGGUACAACGAGUUGCGAGUCGGUGACGGCGAGCUAAUCUCUUAAAGCCAAUCUCAGUUCGGAUUGUAGGCUGCAACUCGCCUACAUGAAGUCGGAAUCGCUAGUAAUCGCGGAUCAGCACGCCGCGGUGAAUACGUUCCCGGGCCU